AGAGUUUGAUCCUGGCUCAGAAUCAACGCUGGCGGCGUGCCUCAGACAUGCAAGUCGAACGUGAAAGUCCCUUCGGGGGCGAGUAAAGUGGCGCACGGGUGAGUAACACGUGGGUAAUUUGCCUUCGGGUGGGGGAUACCGACCGGAAACGGUCGUUAAUACCGCAUGAUGCAGCGGCUCCGAUUGGAGACAGUUGUUAAAGCGGGGGAUCGGCAGCAAUGCCGACCUCGUGCCUGGAGAGAAGCCCGCGGCGGAUUAGGUAGUUGGUGGGGUAAUGGCUCACCAAGCCUGCGAUCCGUAACCGGCCUGAGAGGGCGGUCGGUCACACUGACACUUAGAUACGGGUCAGACUCCUACGGGAGGCAGCAGUCGGGAAUUUUGGGCAAUGGGCGCAAGCCUGACCCAGCAACGCCGCGUGAAGGAUGAAGCUUUUCGGAGUGUAAACUUCGCAAGAAUAGGAAGAAUAAGGGCGGGUGAACAUCCCGUCCGAUGACGGUACUAUUUGUAAGCUCCGGCUAACUCCGUGCCAGCAGCCGCGGUAAUACGGGGGGAGCAAGCGUUGUUCGGAUUUACUGGGCGUAAAGGGUGCGUAGGCGGCACCACAAGUCACUUGUGAAAUCUCGGAGCUCAACUCCGAGCGGUCAAGUGAUACUGUGGAGCUUGAGUGCAGAAGGGGCAAUCGGAAUUCUCGGUGUAGCGGUGAAAUGCGUAGAUAUCGAGAGGAACACCUGCGGCGAAGGCGGGUUGCUGGGCUGACACUGACGCUGAGGCACGAAAGCUAGGGGAGCAAACGGGAUUAGAUACCCCAGUAGUCC
Molecule: ribosomal RNA, 815 nt
Filed under: uncultured bacterium
Lineage: Bacteria
Description: bacterial SSU rRNA
Rfam family: Bacterial small subunit ribosomal RNA
Source: RNAcentral